Long non-coding RNA from Saccostrea cuccullata (small rock oyster), 951 nucleotides. RefSeq lists it as uncharacterized. Lineage: Eukaryota; Metazoa; Mollusca; Bivalvia; Ostreida; Ostreidae. The record is from RefSeq and is a predicted model, not a curated record. The transcript is spliced from 8 exons.
GAAGAGGCCAUUGCAAAGAUCCAGGGUAUCCACUAAACCAGCAUGCCAACAUUGGCCAAAGUGAAUAAUGGCCAGACAAGCUUCAAUCUCAUGGUAGAGUACACAUCUAUCACUCUUUAGGAGGAGUCCAGGGAAGAGAGAUCCACUGCAGCCAGCCAUGGAAGAAAGGAAACAAGGACAAUCAGACUCUUACACUGUCAAAGGUCUGGAAGAUUACAUCACCUGCCAGUAAGAGUACCAAGAGCUAGACACCAGAUAGCCACACAGUAAAGAGGAGAUCAUUGCCAGAGUACAGGGUGUCCAUUAUACCAGCAGCCAUUUAUUAGUCAAAGUGAAACCUUGAUUGCAGUCUCCCACUCUAUGUUAGGAAGAGAUAUAUACCAGCUAAAGGAGUACUGGGAGCCAGGGCUGACUUUGGCCUGCAGGAGAUGAUAAGGGACAAGGCUCAUCUUGAUCAAAUGUUUAAAAGCAGUUCUUCCUGUUGAUAGAGAAUACUCAUUGCCUGCAGCCUACUGUAGAAGUGAGGGGAGUUAGACUAGCCUGGAUCUAGUAUUCAAGAGCAUUCAUGUUUCCACUUGCAUUCCAAGAAGGUGACAGACUUUUGCCUAACAUAAAAACAGAGAGUUGGACUAGCCUUCUACACCAGUCAUAGAAGAACCUGUAGGACAGAAGAAGAUUCCAGAUUAAUGGCUUGACCUGAACACCAGAAGGAGGAAGAGAGGAAUACCAGACUGACAGGACUUGGAAGAAAGAACAGCAGUCAGGAGAUGGACUUUGUGAAUAAUAUUGAUGUUUGGACAUUAUACAUCUCAGACAUACAUAUAUAUGCGUGUUUGUGUGUUAUGUUUGAGUGUGUUUAUGAGUUUAUAAGGUUCAUUGUAAAUUUUGGUUUUUGUAAGCCUCUUAAUGGUAUGCUAGCCCUUACAGUUUCACAUUUUUUAUAUUCAUUGU